Molecule: ribosomal RNA, 433 nt
Filed under: uncultured bacterium
Lineage: Bacteria
Description: partial 16S ribosomal RNA
Rfam family: Bacterial small subunit ribosomal RNA
Source: RNAcentral
AACGAACGCUGGCGGCAUGCCUAACACAUGCAAGUCGAACGAGACCUUCGGGUCUAGUGGCGCACGGGUGCGUAACGCGUGGGAACCUACCCUUAGGUUCGGAAUCACUCCCCGAAAGGGGUGCUAAUACCGGAUAAUGUCUUCGGACCAAAGAUUUAUCGCCUUUGGAUGGGCCCGCGUUGGAUUAGCUAGUUGGUAGGGUAAAAGCCUACCAAGGCGACGAUCCAUAGCUGGUCUGAGAGGAUGAUCAGCCACACUGGGACUGAGACACGGCCCAGACUCCUACGGGAGGCAGCAGUGGGGAAUAUUGGACAAGGGGCGAAAGCCUGAUACAGCAAUGCCGGGUGAGUGAUGAAGGCCGUAGGGUUGUAAAGCUCUUUUACCCGGGAUGAUAAUGACAGUACCGGGAGAAUAAGCUCCGGCUAACUACGUG